GCAGGUAUAGUUUAAACAAAACAUUAGAUUGUGAAUCUAACAAUAGAGACUAAAAACUCUUAUCUACC
This 68-nucleotide transfer RNA is filed under the name Scotonycteris occidentalis. RNAcentral describes it as "Scotonycteris zenkeri occidentalis tRNA-His". It matches the Rfam family "tRNA". From Rfam's summary of the family: Transfer RNA (tRNA) molecules are approximately 80 nucleotides in length. The record is from RNAcentral. Lineage: Eukaryota; Metazoa; Chordata; Mammalia; Chiroptera; Pteropodidae.